RNAcentral lists this long non-coding RNA (388 nucleotides) under Panax ginseng (ginseng). RNAcentral's name for it is "long non-coding RNA (PGIN_LNC001475)". The record is from RNAcentral. Lineage: Eukaryota; Viridiplantae; Streptophyta; Magnoliopsida; Apiales; Araliaceae.
UGCAAUGUGCAGGUUACAAGUCAUUGAUACAAGUCAUUGUCUCGUGUGUCCUAGGAAAAAGUAGAUGCCAGCUUUCACAGUAGCAGACUAAGGUUUGCUGCUCAUAGUGUUACAGGUAUACAUCUCUCCCCCUCUGUAUCAUGUGUUUGUAUUCGUUCCCUGAACAUGGCACUUUAACCUUUAGAUCAUGCUCAUAUAAUGACUCCAUUAGGGGUUGUUGGAUUGGAAUAUCCUAAUUGAAUGUCUUUGUUAGAGGGAAGGAAGUAACUGAAACUCUCUCUCUCUAUUUCUCUUGCUGUAUCAGUUAUACACAAUUGUGCCUGAACAUGAACAUCUACGCAUUGUUCUUAAAGAGUAUACUUGUUUAUUAAAUCAGUUUUUUGAGCGG